Molecule: ribosomal RNA, 383 nt
Filed under: uncultured eukaryote
Lineage: Eukaryota
Description: partial 18S ribosomal RNA
Rfam family: Eukaryotic small subunit ribosomal RNA
Source: RNAcentral
CAAUAGCGUAUAUUAAAGUUGUUGCAGUUAAAAAGCUCGUAGUUGGAUUUCUGGUGGGAGCGAUCGGUCUGGCGCUUAGCGCGAGUACUUGCAUCGUCUCCGGCCAUCCUUGGGGAGAGUCUGUCUGGCAUUAAGUGGUCGGGCAGAGGAUCCUCAUCGUUUACUGUGAAAAAAUUAGAGUGUUCAAAGCAGGCUUAUGCCGUUGAAUAUAUUAGCAUGGAAUAAUAAGAUAGGACUUUGGUACUAUUUUGUUGGUUUGCGCACCAAAGUAAUGAUUAAUAGGGACAGUUGGGGGUAUUCGUAUUCCGUUGUCAGAGGUGAAAUUCUUGGAUUUACGGAAGACGAACUACUGCGAAAGCAUUUACCAAGGAUGUUUUCAUUAA